This 440-nucleotide ribosomal RNA is filed under the name uncultured bacterium. RNAcentral's name for it is "partial 16S ribosomal RNA". It matches the Rfam family "Bacterial small subunit ribosomal RNA", at positions 338 to 795 of the family's 1533-position model. The record is from RNAcentral.
CCUACGUGAGGCAGCAGUAGGGAAUAUUGCUCAAUGGGGGAAACCCUGAAGCAGCAACGCCGCGUGGCGGAUGAAGGUUUUCGGAUUUUAAACUCCUUUUGUUCGGGACGAUACUGACGGUAUCUAACGAAUAAGCAACGGCUAACUCCGUUCCAGCAGCCGGGGUAAUACGGAGGGUGCAAGCGUUACUCGGACUCACUGGGCGUAAAGAUCGCAUAGGCGGGUUAGUAAGUCAGAUGUGAAAUCCUCUGGCUUAACCAUAGGACUGCAUUUGAAACUGUUAUUCUAGAGUAUGGGAGAGGUAGGUGGAAUUCUUGGUGUAGCGGUGAAAUCCGUAGAGAGCAAGAGGAAUACUCAUUGCGAAGGCGACCUGCUAGAACAUAACUGACGCUGAGGCGCGAAAGCGUGGGGAGCAAACAGGAUUAGAUACCCGAGUAGUC